ACUCCUACGGGAGGCAGCAGUGGGGAAUUUUGGACAAUGGGCGAAAGCCUGAUCCAGCCAUGCCGCGUGCAGGAUGAAGGCCUUCGGGUUGUAAACUGCUUUUGUACGGAACGAAACGGCCUUUUCUAAUAAAGAGGGCUAAUGACGGUACCGUAAGAAUAAGCACCGGCUAACUACGUGCCAGCAGCCGCGGUAAUACGUAGGGUGCAAGCGUUAAUCGGAAUUACUGGGCGUAAAGCGUGCGCAGGCGGUUAUGUAAGACAGUUGUGAAAUCCCCGGGCUCAACCUGGGAACUGCAUCUGUGACUGCAUAGCUAGAGUACGGUAGAGGGGGAUGGAAUUCCGCGUGUAGCAGUGAAAUGCGUAGAUAUGCGGAGGAACACCGAUGGCGAAGGCAAUCCCCUGGACCUGUACUGACGCUCAUGCACGAAAGCGUGGGGAGCAAACAGGAUUAGAAACCCUGGUAGUCCCAU
Molecule: ribosomal RNA, 472 nt
Filed under: uncultured organism
Description: partial 16S ribosomal RNA
Rfam family: Bacterial small subunit ribosomal RNA
Source: RNAcentral